UACAGAGGGUGCGAGCGUUAAUCGGAAUUACUGGGCGUAAAGCGUGCGCAGGCGGUCUGCUAAGAGAGAUGUGAAAUCCCCGGGCUUAACCUGGGAACUGCGUUUCUAACUGGCAGGCUAGAGUGUGGCAGAGGGGGGUGGAAUUCCACGUGUAGCAGUGAAAUGCGUAGAGAUGUGGAGGAACACCGAUGGCGAAGGCAGCCCCCUGGGCUAACACUGACGCUCAUGCACGAAAGCGUGGGGAGCAAACAGG
This 253-nucleotide ribosomal RNA is filed under the name uncultured bacterium. RNAcentral describes it as "partial 16S ribosomal RNA". It matches the Rfam family "Bacterial small subunit ribosomal RNA", at positions 524 to 776 of the family's 1533-position model. The record is from RNAcentral.